GGACUCUUUUAUUUGCUGCUGCGAUGCGCGUCGAACGGCAGCACGGGGCAACCUGGUGGCGAGUGGCGAACGGGUGAGUAAUACAUCGGAACGUGCCCAUGUCGUGGGGGAUAACGUAGCGAAAGCUACGCUAAUACCGCAUACGAUCUACGGAUGAAAGCGGGGGAUCGCAAGACCUCGCGCGAUUGGAGCGGCCGAUGGCAGAUUAGGUAGUUGGUGGGGUAAAGGCCCACCAAGCCUGCGAUCUGUAGCUGGUCUGAGAGGACGACCAGCCACACUGGGACUGAGACACGGCCCAGACUCCUACGGGAGGCAGCAGUGGGGAAUUUUGGACAAUGGGCGAAAGCCUGAUCCAGCCAUUCCGCGUGCAGGAUGAAGGCCCUCGGGUUGUAAACUGCUUUUGUACGGAACGAAAAGGCCUUGGUUAAUACCUGGGGCUCAUGACGGUACCGUAAGAAUAAGCACCGGCUAACUACGUGCCAGCAGCCGCGGUAAUACGUAGGGUGCGAGCGUUAAUCGGAAUUACUGGGCGUAAAGCGUGCGCAGGCGGUGAUGUAAGACAGAGGUGAAAUCCCCGGGCUCAACCUGGGAACUGCCUUUGUGACUGCAUCGCUGGAGUGCGGCAGAGGGGGAUGGAAUUCCGCGUGUAG
Molecule: ribosomal RNA, 650 nt
Filed under: bacterium
Lineage: Bacteria
Description: bacterial SSU rRNA
Rfam family: Bacterial small subunit ribosomal RNA
Source: RNAcentral